Astatotilapia calliptera (eastern happy) is the source of this 1043-nucleotide long non-coding RNA. The record is from Ensembl. Lineage: Eukaryota; Metazoa; Chordata; Actinopteri; Cichliformes; Cichlidae.
GCGAGAAUCCCUGGAGUUCAGCCAGCAGCAGGUGGAAAUGCCCGCUGCUGAAAAUGGCUCUUAGGUGACGGUUUCCUCGUGGCUGCGUGCAGCGGGGCUAGGGGAGGGUCUGUGCUGAUGGAUGGGGCUUACUGACCUGGUAGCCUGGCUGACCCUGGGUGGGUCCGGGACGGGCGUGGGGUUCUGGGGGUGCUCCAUCUCUGGGCUGGGGCCCUGGCUGGGCCUUGGGGGCUUGGGUCCUGGUUGGUGUGUUGCCGGGGUUGUGGGCGGUGGGUGUAUGGGGGCCCAGCCCUGGCGCAGGGUGCCGCCAGUGCAUCGAGCCACCUGGGGGGCUCUUCAACUGGUGCGCUCAUACUCACGGGUAUACACACGGGUGCUCACACACAAACUACACCCUUUUUGGCUGCUACCUCAAAGCAAAGUGCGCUGUCAAUCUUACGUGCUGCACAAUAAUGUUUAAUAUUUAGUAUUUACUGUGAUAUUCCCAUAGAUCAUCAUGAUGUUGUUUAUUAUGUUGCUCUUUUUUUUCCUUCUGCUUGUUUUCUCUUUUUUCUUUCUCAACAGGUGAUCCAGGUGAUUGAUAUAUGUGUUUAUUCUGCUUAUUUUGUUGUUUUUUGUUGUUUGCCUUUUAACACCUUUCCUCUUCCCCGCUGUUUUUCUUUCCCUCUUCCUUUCUCCCCUUUCUUUUCCCCAGUCAAGUCUGUCCCGUAUUUAGCAAGUGAAAAUAAAAUAAAAUGAACAAUAAAAGGUGAAUCAAAUAGACCAUAAAAAAAGCAGAUAAUUAGUGGUAAAUGACAGGCAGGUAAAUCAUAUUACUUGCCAUUUAAAUGCUCCAAAACACAAAAAACAUAUCACAGACGUGUUACAGAGUUGUUGACACCUAUCAAAGUGCCCUUAACAUUAAGCUUUAACAAAAUCCAGAUGGGAAGUUUGGUUUUUUUAAAGGCUGCAAACAUGUUUUUUAGUGGUUCUAAUUUGAUUGACUCACUGUCAGAGACAACCUUCAGUGGUCAAUCCUGGUAGCGCAGGAACCUAUAUUUGUG